AAAUUUAUUUUUAAGUGAAAAAGCUUAAAUUAGUUUGGGGGACGAUAAGACCCUUUAAAUCUUAGAUUAUUAGUAUUAUUAUAUUUAAAAUAAAUAAAAUAAAGUUUUAUUAAUAAAUUUAUUGGGGUGAUAUUUGAAAUAAAUAAACUUUAGAAAAAAUUACAUGAUUUAUGAAAAUUAUAAACUUUGUUAAAAAAUUUAAAUGAAGUUACUUUAGGGAUAACAGCGUAAUUUUUUUUGAGAGAUCUUAUUAAUAAAAAAGCUUGCGACCUCGAUGUUGAAUUAAAAUGUUAUUAUGGUGCAGAAGUUAUGAUAGUAAGUCUGUUCGACUUUUAAAAUUUUACAUGAUUUGAGUUCAGACCGGUGAGAG
This 370-nucleotide ribosomal RNA is filed under the name Eucopia grimaldii. Its description in RNAcentral is "partial 16S ribosomal RNA". The stretch from base 219 to 370 matches the Rfam family "Bacterial large subunit ribosomal RNA", at positions 2473 to 2625 of the family's 2925-position model. Lineage: Eukaryota; Metazoa; Arthropoda; Malacostraca; Lophogastrida; Eucopiidae. The record is from RNAcentral.